AUUGAACGCUGGCGGCAGGCCUAACACAUGCAAGUCGGGCGAUCGGCGGCCGGGUGCGUAAUGUAUCGUGAUCUGCCUGAUGGCGGGGGUUAACUACUGGAAACGGUAGCUAAUUCCGCCUAUCUUUAGAUGAACCCAUAUGGGAUUAGCUUGUAGGUGAGGUAUCGGCUCACCUAGGCGACGAUCCCUAGCUGGGCUGAGAGGAUGAUCAGCCACACUGGGACUGAGACACGGCCCAGACUCCUACGGGAGGCAGCAGGGGGGAAUAUUGCACAAUGGGCGCAAGCCUGAUGCAGCCAUGCCGCGUGUAUGAAGAAGGCCUUCGGGUUGUAAAGUACUUUCAGUCGGGAGGCGUUACCGACAGAAGAAGCACCGGCUAACUCCGUGCCAGCAGCCGCGGUAAUAC
This 406-nucleotide ribosomal RNA is filed under the name uncultured bacterium. RNAcentral's name for it is "partial 16S ribosomal RNA". It matches the Rfam family "Bacterial small subunit ribosomal RNA", at positions 30 to 526 of the family's 1533-position model. The record is from RNAcentral.